CAGCAGUAGCCGCGGGAAUACGUAGGGCGCAAGCGUUGUCCGGAAUUAUUGGGCGUAAAGAGCUCGUAGGCGGUCUGUCGCGUCUGGUGUGAAAUCCCGAGGCUCAACCUCGGGCUUGCAUCGGGUACGGGCAGACUAGAGUGCGGUAGGGGAGACUGGAAUUCCUGGUGUAGCGGUGGAAUGCGCAGAUAUCAGGAGGAACACCGAUGGCGAAGGCAGGUCUCUGGGCCGCAACUGACGCUGAGGAGCGAAAGCAUGGGGAGCGAACAGGAUUAGAUACCCCGGUAGUCCCUGUCUCUUAUAA
RNAcentral lists this ribosomal RNA (304 nucleotides) under uncultured bacterium. Its description in RNAcentral is "partial 16S ribosomal RNA". It matches the Rfam family "Bacterial small subunit ribosomal RNA", at positions 506 to 809 of the family's 1533-position model. The record is from RNAcentral.